ACAAAAACAUGUCCUGGGGGAUAAAUCCUAGGUCAGACCUGCCCUAUGUUAAUCAAUAAAUGGUCGCAGAUUCUGUGCUAAGGUAGCAUAAUCAAUUGCCCUGUAAUUCAGGGAUGGAAUGAAGGGUUCGACGAAGGUCAAGCUGUCUCUUUGGUGGGUACCUGAAAUUUAGCUCUGGGUAAAAACGCCUAGGUACAAAGGGGGGACGAUAAGACCCUAAGAUCUUGGUCUCAAGCACUUUUUAAGGGUAGUGUUGGGAUUUACUUGGGAUGAGGAGUGUACAAAAACUACCUUUAAGGUAAAGAAGUAACAGUUCAAACAGUGAAACCUCCAGCGGAGAUAAAGGACAAAGUUACCUUAGGGAUAACAGGGAUAUUCUGUCUAGGGAGACCGAAUUUCUAGAAAGGGUUUCCACCUCGAUGUUGAAUUAAAGUUGCACUUUGGGGGAGAUCCUAGGGUAGUUGGAUUGUUCAUCCAUUUAAACUUUACGUGAUCUGA
Molecule: ribosomal RNA, 498 nt
Filed under: Pectinopygus sp. RF-15
Lineage: Eukaryota; Metazoa; Arthropoda; Insecta; Psocodea; Philopteridae
Description: partial 16S ribosomal RNA
Rfam family: Bacterial large subunit ribosomal RNA
Source: RNAcentral